CAGCUCGUGUCGUGAGAUGUGGUUAAGUCCGCAACGAGCGCAACCCCUAUUGUUAGUUGCCAUCAUUCAGUUGGGCACUCUAGCGAGACUGCCGGUAAUAAACCGGAGGAAGGUGGGGAGUGACGUCAAAUCAUCAUGCCCCUUAUGACCUGGGCUACACACGUGCUACAAUGGUUGGUACAACGAGUUGCGAGUCGGUGACGGCGAGCUAAUCUCUUAAAGCCAAUCUCAGUUCGGAUUGUAGGCUGCAACUCGCCUACAUGAAGUCGGAAUCGCUAGUAAUCGCGGAUCAGCACGCCGCGGUGAAUACGUUCCCGGGCCUU
This 323-nucleotide ribosomal RNA is filed under the name uncultured Streptococcus sp. RNAcentral describes it as "bacterial SSU rRNA". It matches the Rfam family "Bacterial small subunit ribosomal RNA", at positions 1056 to 1382 of the family's 1533-position model. Lineage: Bacteria; Bacillati; Bacillota; Bacilli; Lactobacillales; Streptococcaceae. The record is from RNAcentral.